AUGGUAUCAGAUUUGCCAGAUUACCUCAAAAAGCCCACCUAUUCCACUCGCCAGAAACAACAAGCAACCGAGAUGGAGCAGCAACUCACCGAUCUCGCAGACGCGAUGGCGAAGAUCCAGGAACAGACGGCCGCGAUCCAGCAGUCGGUCGCAGAGAUCAAGCCGGCGGUGUUGGAUCUCGCGGCGUGGCGGCCCGCGAUGGAGAAAUCGGUGGAGGAGCUGCAGACCGAUCUGGGCGGCCUCCACACCCAGAUCGCGCAGGUCACGCGCAACCCCGUGCUCUCCAUCAAGCCGGCGGAUCUCCCUCCGCUGAUUCCGCGCGUCCCUGAUAACCCACAAGUAUAG
This 345-nucleotide ribosomal RNA is filed under the name Triticum aestivum (bread wheat). RNAcentral describes it as "partial small subunit ribosomal RNA". Lineage: Eukaryota; Viridiplantae; Streptophyta; Magnoliopsida; Poales; Poaceae. The record is from RNAcentral.